This 112-nucleotide ribosomal RNA is filed under the name Acanthosepion pharaonis. The record is from RNAcentral. Lineage: Eukaryota; Metazoa; Mollusca; Cephalopoda; Sepiida; Sepiidae.
AUGGCCAUAUCAUGUUGAAACAGUGGUUCUCAUAUGAUUACUGAAGUUAAGCAACAUUGAGCCUGGUCAUUACCUUGAUCGGUGACCACUUGGGGAUACCAGAUGCUGUAAG